Long non-coding RNA from Panicum virgatum (switchgrass), 616 nucleotides. RefSeq lists it as uncharacterized. The transcript is spliced from 2 exons. The record is from RefSeq and is a predicted model, not a curated record. NCBI's taxonomy places the organism in Eukaryota, Viridiplantae, Streptophyta, Magnoliopsida, Poales, Poaceae.
CGAAACCACUACUGCUACCUGUCACUAUGAUAGCUAAAGCUAAGUCCUCAUAACCCUCGUCGUCCCUGAUCUCUCGACCUGCUCAUCCUGAGAAAUUUCGAUAUUUAACCCUAACUACCCUUCGCCUAAUCCACUUGAAUCAUCAGGGAGGCGAUCGAACCCACAUCAUCUCAUCUCAUUCUUUCCUGUUCGGAGGCCCUGCUCCCUAUCGCCCCCCAUCCCGGCGAGCGGCAGCCCCCAUCUCCGGCAAGCGGCGGCGCCCAUCUCCGGUGAGCGGCGGCGCCUGCGUACCCCCUACCAGGCCCCGCCAAGGUUCCGCGAGGGACUGGGCGUGCGCAGGAGGAGCGCCACGGAUGCGGCCACCCUACCUAGGGUUUCGGGUGCCAGCAACAACGGCCGAAUCCACCGGCCCUGAGGGAGAGCCAUGAUCCCCUUCGAAGUUUCUGCUAUGGUCCAUCCGGAUGCAGCAUUUGUACUAGGUGUUCAUGUAGGUCAGUUCUCAGUGGUCCUUGAUGAUGCUGCGACCUCACCUACUACUACUAUGACCUCUCCUACUACUACAGUCACCCCGCUUCGGAGAAAGAAGUUAGCUGUGAAGAAGAAGACCACUCCAAGG